GACGAACGCUGGCGGCGUGCCUAAUACAUGCAAGUAGAACGCACGGUUUAUACCGUAGCUUGCUACACCAUAGACUGUGAGUUGCGAACGGGUGAGUAACGCGUAGGUAACCUGCCUGGUAGCGGGGGAUAACUAUUGGAAACGAUAGCUAAUACCGCAUAAUAUUAAUUAUUGCAUGAUAAUUAAUUGAAAGGUGCAAUUGCACCACUACCAGAUGGACCUGCGUUGUAUUAGCUAGUAGGUGAGGUAACGGCUCACCUAGGCGACGAUACAUAGCCGACCUGAGAGGGUGAUCGGCCACACUGGGACUGAGACACGGCCCAGACUCCUACGGGAGGCAGCAGUAGGGAAUCUUCGGCAAUGGACGAAAGUCUGACCGAGCAACGCCGCGUGAGUGAAGAAGGUUUUCGGAUCGUAAAGCUCUGUUGUAAGAGAAGAACGGGUGUGAGAGUGGAAAGUUCACACUGUGACGGUAGCUUACCAGAAAGGGACGGCUAACUACGUG
RNAcentral lists this ribosomal RNA (505 nucleotides) under uncultured bacterium. RNAcentral describes it as "partial 16S ribosomal RNA". It matches the Rfam family "Bacterial small subunit ribosomal RNA", at positions 28 to 507 of the family's 1533-position model. The record is from RNAcentral.